GAUCAAAUAUAGGUGCAGACUGAAAUAGUCCUUAGAGAGAGUGAGAAAGGAAUGCAGUAGCCUUUCCAGACCCUGUGCAAGUCUCCGAGGAAGCCGAGGCUCACAUUCGUGACUACUAGAUCCAGUCUCUGCCGGAACUGCCUGAGGGCCAACACUGUAGCAGGGAGAUUAAUAAUGGUGCCUCAUCAUAGGAUUCCUGGCAGGGUUAAAGGAGUUAACAUGGGUGAAGCAUUUAGAAGAGUGCCCAGCAUACAGUAAGUGCUCAUGACAUCGGGCUCUUUUAAAAAGUCAACCAUCCCACACCAUGGACCAUCAAGUCUCCAUUCCUUAAGCUGGUUUCCUUGGGAUAAGGGCCUUGUUGGAAUGAGUAUCCCUGGACCUGGAGUUUGGAAUAUUAUCCAGCAAGAAGGCACUGCACUAACCAGCCCAGGGGUACGCUUCCUACUUGAAGCACAACUAGUUAAAUAAUAAAAUAUCUUCAAAAA
Long non-coding RNA from Neogale vison (American mink), 485 nucleotides. RefSeq lists it as uncharacterized. The record is from RefSeq and is a predicted model, not a curated record. The transcript is spliced from 3 exons. Lineage: Eukaryota; Metazoa; Chordata; Mammalia; Carnivora; Mustelidae.